UGGGGAAUAUUGGACAAUGGGGGAAACCCUGAUCCAGCCAUGCCGCGUGAGUGAAGAAGGCCUUAGGGUUGUAAAGCUCUUUUACUCGGGAAGAUAAUGACUGUACCGGGAGAAUAAGCCCCGGCUAACUUCGUGCCAGCAGCCGCGGUAAUACGAAGGGGGCUAGCGUUGUUCGGAAUCACUGGGCGUAAAGCGCACGCAGGCGGAUUGAUAAGUCAGGGGUGAAAUCCCGAGGCUCAACCUCGGAAUUGCCUUUGAUACUGUCUGUCUUGAGUUCGGGAGAGGUUGGCGGAAUUCCUAGUGUAGAGGUGAAAUUCGUAGAUAUUAGGAAGAACACCAGUGGCGAAGGCGGCCAACUGGCCCGAUACUGACGCUCAUGUGCGAAAGCGUGGGGAGCAAACAGGAUUAGAUACCCGCGUAGUCC
Molecule: ribosomal RNA, 424 nt
Filed under: uncultured bacterium
Lineage: Bacteria
Description: bacterial SSU rRNA
Rfam family: Bacterial small subunit ribosomal RNA
Source: RNAcentral